AUGAUCACCAGGAGGGGAAACUCCAGCCCUCAUUCCCAUUAUCCCAAGCUGCCACUGAGGAAUGGGGUUUGGAGAGGCAGCAUGGAAGUGCUGGAAUACAUUCCCAGUGGAACUGGAAUAAAUUCCCAGUGCUGCUGGAACACAUUCCCAGUGGUACUGGAAUACAUUCCCAGUGGUGCUGGGAUACAUUCCCAGUGCUGCUGGAACACAUUCCCAGGCAGGGAGAGGGGCACAGGGCUGGUGAUCCAUCCACAGGCAGCCAGGCACUCCCCUGCCAGGCUCAGGAAUCCCAGCAAAGGGCACAUUCCCCUCCUGGAGCUCUGUUUUUCAGGGAUUUGGGCUUCCCACGCUUCCGUGUGCACGCGAGGGGUAAAAAGUGACCUGCAAAAGAGGAGGGCUGGGCUCGUGGGGGGAGAGGCAGCCCUGGAGCAGCUGCAGCUGUGGUGCUCGGGGUUUUGUGCAUCAGAAACACCCACAGGGGCUGCUCUGGGGCUCUCUGGGAACACACAUCCUGUGGGAGUGCAGUGCCAGGCAAAGCCGAGGCUGCUCUGUGGAGCUGUGCUCUCCCAAGGGAUCCCUCUACUCCCCACCCCAAAUCCCUCCCUGGCAGCUCAGAGCCAUCACCCAGCAGCUCCCAAGGAGUUUUGCUUGCAGGGAUGAUCCAAAAACAGCCACCAGCUCCAAUUUCAAGUGCCAGCAGAAAGAGGCUGGAUGGCAACGCCCAGCCUUGGCCACAAGAGCCUGGAACUCCUCGGGGGGAAUCUUUUGCAGGUCUCCCUUUUAAGGCCUUAAUGUCAUUACAGAGAGAGGGAUUCUUGUGUCUCGUGCUUGCCAUUGCUGCCCUCUCUGAGCAGCACCAAAACCUCCUCAGACUGAGCAGCUGCAGUGCCUGGCUGUCAGUGCAGGAUCCAGAGGGAGGGACACAACAAGCACCAGGUGUUUAAGCUGCUGCAGGUACGGCAGGGGCAGGACUGAUGUGCCAAGUGUUCUAAACAACCACACAAACAGCCAAAUGUUGAGCCACUGCAACGCUGCUGCUACUCAGAUUCUCAACAUCAGCCACAGCAAAGGAAGAGAAAUCAAAAUCAAACCCAAAACCGAGCACUGGUAUGGACACAGAAGAGUUUAUCCUCGCUGGAGUUGUGUUCCCAGGAGGGAAGACUGGAUGUGGCAGUGACUUGGGUCAGACCGAGACCAGAUGUUGGCACAGAGAUGACAAACACCAGCUGGGGCCAGGUCCAGAGUGGAUUGUCAUGGCAGGAGCUCCUGCUGCUGAGCAAAGACACAUCCAGGAGGACAGGGGCUGUCCCCCUCUCCUUGGAAGUUCUGGUCAUCAGUUAAGGAACAUUGAGACACUUCCCAAACUGCAGCAACAGGAUUCUGUUGGCUCUUCAGAGGUUCAGUCCCAGAGCUGUUUUGGGUUCAGAAGAAGCAGAGGGAGUCUUUUGUGCCAGAUCUGUGAAGGGAAUUGCAACAGAGAUCAGAACUCAUCAAACACAUCCACAACCACCCAAUACAAUUCCAGAGUGACCAGGUGCUUCCCUGCUCAGCUCCAUGUUCCACCCCCCUGGAAUCACAUGCUCUGGAAAUUGAGGUUAUAACCUGCCCAAACAGAGGGAAAACUACGUGGCCAAUUCUGUGGGAUUGUUCAUGAACAGAUUCCCAAAAGGAAAACUGAAACAGUCCAGGACAGGUAUAGGGAAAGCUCAGUUCAAGCCCAUAAACUGUGGUCAUUCACCAUUACUAAAUCAUAGGAUAUCCUGAGUUGGAAGGGACCCAAAAGGAUCAUUAAUAAAUCAUAAGAUAUGAAUUAUUUAUUUCCCUAU
RNAcentral lists this long non-coding RNA (1826 nucleotides) under Chloebia gouldiae (Gouldian finch). RNAcentral's name for it is "Erythrura gouldiae (Gouldian finch) lncRNA (ENSEGOG00005016118.1)". Lineage: Eukaryota; Metazoa; Chordata; Aves; Passeriformes; Passeridae. The record is from RNAcentral.